RNAcentral lists this ribosomal RNA (459 nucleotides) under uncultured bacterium. RNAcentral describes it as "partial 16S ribosomal RNA". It matches the Rfam family "Bacterial small subunit ribosomal RNA", at positions 338 to 795 of the family's 1533-position model. The record is from RNAcentral.
CCUACGGGAGGCAGCAGUGAGGAAUAUUGGUCAAUGGUCGGGAGACUGAACCAGCCAAGCCGCGUGAGGGAUGAAGGUACAGAGUAUCGUAAACCUCUUUUGUCAGGGAACAAAGGCGGGGACGUGUCCCCGGAUGAGUGUACCUGAAGAAAAAGCAUCGGCUAACUCUGUGCCAGCAGCCGCGGUAAUACGGAGGAUGCGAGCGUUAUCCGGAUUUAUUGGGUUUAAGGGGUGCGCAGGCGGUCUGUUAAGUCAGCGGUCAAAGCCCGGGGCUCAACCCCGGCCCGCCGUUGAAACUGGCAGGCUCGAGUUGGAGAGAAGUAUGCGGAAUGCGCGGUGUAGCGGUGAAAUGCAUAGAUAUCGCGCAGAACUCCGAUUGCGAAGGCAGCAUGCCGGCUCCACACUGACGCUGAGGCACGAAAGCGUGGGUAUCGAACAGGAUUAGAUACCCUAGUAGUC